AUGCUUAAAUUAUUUCUUGCAUGGAUUUGGGAGUGGGGCGCCGCAGAGGCACUUGUUGUGCUGGAAGUUGUAGACAUCCAACCUCGCCAAGGCGGCCGGAACCUGGCCGCACAGCUUGUUGUAGCUCACGUUGAACUGCCGCAGGUUCGUUACAUUCGCCACCUGCGCUGGGAUGCCGCCGCGGAUGGCGUUUUGGCUCGCAUCCAUGGCUUGCAUCUCCUCCGGGAACUCCACGCCGGAGAGGUCGAAGCUGAGGGCGUUGUGGGACAGGUCAAUGCUUUGCAGCUCCUUUGUCCUGCCGAAGAACACGGACGCGUCGCCGGUGAGAGCGUUGUGGGAGAGGUCGACUUGCAGGAAGCCGACUGCAGCGAACUCGGCUGGGAUGGAGCCGGAGAGGUGGUUGUCGGAGAGCAAAAGGACUGGGAGAAGAGUGGAUUUGGAGAAGAGUGGCGGGAUGGUGCCUGUGAGGCUGUUGUUUCUGAGGUCGAUGGAGUCUAA
RNAcentral lists this ribosomal RNA (498 nucleotides) under Triticum aestivum (bread wheat). RNAcentral describes it as "partial small subunit ribosomal RNA". The record is from RNAcentral. Lineage: Eukaryota; Viridiplantae; Streptophyta; Magnoliopsida; Poales; Poaceae.